CCGUAGCUCAACGGUAGAGCAUCUGCUUUGCAUGUAGAAGGUCUCAGAUUCAAUCCCCAGCAUCUCAUGU
RNAcentral lists this transfer RNA (70 nucleotides) under Podarcis lilfordi (Lilford's wall lizard). RNAcentral describes it as "tRNA.Ala". Lineage: Eukaryota; Metazoa; Chordata; Lepidosauria; Squamata; Lacertidae. The record is from RNAcentral.